GACGAACGCUGGCGGCGUGCUUAACACAUGCAAGUCGAACGAAGAGCGAUGGAAGCUUGCUUCUAUCAAUCUUAGUGGCGAACGGGUGAGUAACGCGUAAUCAACCUGCCCUUCAGAGGGGGACAACAGUUGGAAACGACUGCUAAUACCGCAUACGAUCUAACCUCGGCAUCGAGGAUAGAUGAAAGGUGGCCUCUACAUGUAAGCUAUCACUGAAGGAGGGGAUUGCGUCUGAUUAGCUAGUUGGAGGGGUAACGGCCCACCAAGGCGAUGAUCAGUAGCCGGUCUGAGAGGAUGAACGGCCACAUUGGGACUGAGACACGGCCCAGACUCCUACGGGAGGCAGCAGUGGGGAAUCUUCCGCAAUGGACGAAAGUCUGACGGAGCAACGCCGCGUGAGUGAUGACGGCCUUCGGGUUGUAAAGCUCUGUUAAUCGGGGACGAAAAGGCCCUUCUUG
Molecule: ribosomal RNA, 458 nt
Filed under: Veillonella parvula
Lineage: Bacteria; Bacillati; Bacillota; Negativicutes; Veillonellales; Veillonellaceae
Description: bacterial SSU rRNA
Rfam family: Bacterial small subunit ribosomal RNA
Source: RNAcentral